CCUCACCCCAGGCAGCAGAUAACCAACGACUGACUCAGAGCAGCAAAAACUGGGACCAGCUGCAAAGCUCUACCUGAGUCGGAUUGGAACUGAAGCAGGUCCCUGAAGAGAUUAUGCCCUGCUUAACGCCUCCGCCUCCGAGUUUUCCUGCUUCCCUCCCCCAUUCUCCAGAGAGCAUUCUUCCACUGUUAACUGGAAGCAGUUUCUUGGGUCCUUCUUCAGACUCAAACCUGGCCAUCACCUCAACUCUGCAAUUUUUUUUUCCUGUGAAAGAAAUCCCUAGCUAAAGAUACAUGGUUAAAAAUAAAGGGGCUGCCAAGAUGGCUCAGCAGAGGGCAGUUGCUUUCAUGAUAAUGAGCUGAGUUUGCACCCAGGGUCCCACAUAAUCUAAGGAGAGGACCAAGAACUCAAGAAGAAGGAAGGUACUGCCGACUCUUGAACGUUAUCCUCUGAUCUCCACGUCUGCAAACCCCAUAUCCACAACAAUAACUUAAAAAUAAAGAACUAUGCAUAUUCAAUCUCCUUAA
Molecule: long non-coding RNA, 527 nt
Organism: Arvicanthis niloticus (Nile rat)
Lineage: Eukaryota; Metazoa; Chordata; Mammalia; Rodentia; Muridae
Source: RefSeq, a predicted model, not a curated record